RNAcentral lists this small RNA (125 nucleotides) under Pongo abelii (Sumatran orangutan). Its description in RNAcentral is "processed transcript". The record is from RNAcentral. Lineage: Eukaryota; Metazoa; Chordata; Mammalia; Primates; Hominidae.
CAGGCAGAGAAUUCUUGCGCUCAGUCUCAGUUUUUGUCUCUGAUUUUGGAGAAAGGAGGCUGGCCCCAGAGGAAAAGGGUAUUGGAACCCCUUCGAGAUCCAGAUAUUAGCUGGCUGUAGAAUGA